AGCGAACGUUAGCGGCGGGCCUAACACAUGCAAGUCGAACGCGAAAGGUCUUCGGACUGAGUAGAGUGGCGCACGGGUGAGUAACACGUAGGUAAUCUACCCUUUGGCGGGGAUAACGUUCCGAAAGGAGCGCUAAUACCGCAUAAGACCACGGAGUCUCCGGACGCUGUGGGAAAAGGUGGCCUCUUCUUGAAAGCUACCACCGAAGGAUGAGCCUGCGUCCCAUCAGCUAGUUGGAAGGUAAUGGCUUACCAAGGCGAAGACGGGUAGCUGGUUUGAGAGAAUGAUCAGCCACAUUGGCACUGGAACACGGGCCAGACUCCUACGGGAGGCAGCAGUGAGGAAUAUUGGGCAAUGGGCAAAGCCUGACCCAGCCACGCCGCGUGAGUGAUGAAGGCCCUCGGGUCGUAAAGGCUC
Molecule: ribosomal RNA, 417 nt
Filed under: uncultured bacterium
Lineage: Bacteria
Description: bacterial SSU rRNA
Rfam family: Bacterial small subunit ribosomal RNA
Source: RNAcentral